CUAAGAGAGAGAGGGUGAAGGAAAUGUAAAGGCAGAGGGAGGGCCGGACAGAAAAGGUUGAAGAAGGAGAGGAAGAAGGAUGCAGGAUCAGAGGAGCCAGAAGCAGAGAGAGUGGAAGAUGGAGAAGUAGGACAAGUGCGGUCAGACGUCGACAGCGAUGCAGCUAAAACUCGACCCAGAACUGAGGGAGGAAGAUAGAGAUGCGAGGAUGUCUGUUGCAGAUGUGCAAAGUCUAAACGCCCGGCUCUGGAGAUCAGGAGUGUCCCAUUUUGGAAAAGGAGGUUAGAGUCUGUCUGUGGAGCAGAAAAGGCUGAAUGGCUCUCACCGUGUUAAGUACAGUUGAAUGUGUCCGGUUCGCACUUCAGCAGCGGAGUCUAGAGAGGGUCUGGCUAAAUUUGCACUGGAUGGGGUGAGAGUGACAGAAAAGGAGAAUGAAUGAGGUGGAUGGAUGGUGUGUGUGUGUGUGUGUGUGUGUGUGUGUGUGUGUGUGUGUGUGUGUGUGUGUGUGUGUGUGUGUGUGUGUGUGUGUGCUCACCCUCUGUGUUUGCCCCUGUGAAUUUGCGUCCGUGUGUGUUUUCCUGUGACAAAGUUCAGGGGGCCAGACUUGGAGAAAGAAAAGGGGAAAAUGAGAGAAAGUAAAGGAUUUGAAUGAGGUGCAGGGGGAGAGAGAGGGAGAGGGUGAGCAGAGAUCUGACGGAGAGAGCCGGAGGAGGACAAGAGGACAUUUUUUUGGAGGGAAAAGAAGACCAGGCACCUUGAAAUUUGUGUGGCGAGAUCGUCCGCUGCUUCACAGCACGAGUGGCGUAAAUUGGUGAGAUUUAUAGAUUGAAGCUGCAGGAAGCAACAACUCAGUCUGGGAAAUAUGUACAGAGAAAGAGAAAGAGUGAGGGAGAGGCAGAGUGGGAGAGAGAGAGGGUGGGGGGGAGAUCAAGAGCGAGGCUGCAUUAAUAUGCUAAUGGCCUGAGUGAAUGCACAACAGGCCCACUGACCAGGCUAAUCACUGGUGGACACACACUGAGGCUAAUCCCUCAUGCGGCACUCACACACAUGCAGUCACACACAUGCACACACAGCGCAGGUUAAAAUAUUUGGACAGUGACAUAUUUUGCAUUGAUUAGUCUUUGUGUUCCAGCAGAGGUUUGAAAUGCAACACCGAGCAUGAGGUUAAAGUUCUGCCUUUCAGAAAUAAACUUUUUUUCUUCACUGAUUAUAUGACCUAAGUGACCACAGUGAAACUCAACAGUGGUUUUUCUUGUUGCAGACCAGACUGAAAGGAAGAAAUCAGCACGAAAACCAGGCAAGAACUGAAGAGGACUGGAGAUAACGUGGCCGUAAUGGUAAGUAUGAUCAUCAAAAUGUAAUUUAAUUUCAUGCUGUAGCUUUUCAUGCUGUAGCUGAUACAGGUAAAGUGUUCUAUCUACUCUUAAAUGUACAUCGUUUGGAUAAAAGUGUCUGUGAAAUAAAACUGUAAAUUGUAAGUUUAGUAUGAAUUCAAACGCCUCUGAAUGUAUUUCUAGUCCAGAGUUCAGAGCCAGCAUAAUCAAAAGAAAUGUGUCAGUGUCCAAAUACUGACACACAAGAAAAGAUGAAAAAGAUAAAUUUAAAUGUUAAAGUAUUCUCAGCCACCGAAUUUACUCCAAUGUAGAACUUUAUCAUUUUCAAGCUGUUGCUUUUAAGUGUCAUUUAAUCUGAUGGUGUUAUGUAAUGCAGUUAAUCUUUAUUACUGUUGUAAUGCUGGUAAAAUGUGUGCAGAAUACAAAUAAUAAAACCAAAUUUCCAAAACCA
Long non-coding RNA from Acanthochromis polyacanthus (spiny chromis), 1785 nucleotides. RefSeq lists it as uncharacterized. The record is from RefSeq and is a predicted model, not a curated record. The transcript is spliced from 2 exons. NCBI's taxonomy places the organism in Eukaryota, Metazoa, Chordata, Actinopteri, Pomacentridae.